UUCGGGGUGNCAGGCGAUACGGGCAUAACUAGAGUGCUGUAGGGGAGACUGGAAUUCCUGGUGUAGCGGUGGAAUGCGCAGAUAUCAGGAGGAACACCGAUGGCGAAGGCAGGUCUCUGGGCAGUAACUGACGCUGAGGAGCGAAAGCAUGGGGAGCGAACAGGAUUAGAUACCCUGGUAGUCCAUGCUGUAAACGGUGGGCGUUAGGUGUGGGGACCGGUUUGGUUUCUGUGCCGUAGCUAACGCAUUAAGCGCCCCGCCUGGGGAGUACGGCCGCAAGGCUAAAACUCAAAGGAAUUGACGGGGGCCCGCACAAGCGGCGGAGCAUGUGGAUUAAUUCGAUGCAACGCGAAGAACCUUACCUGGGUUUGACAUGCACCAGACGGUUGUAGAGAUACGUACCUCCCUUUGUGGUUGGUGUGCAGGUGGUGCAUGGUUGUCGUCAGCUCGUGUCGUGAGAUGUUGGGUUAAGUCCCGCAACGAGCGCAACCCUUGUCUUAUGUUGCCAGCACGUUUAGGGUGGGGACUCAUGAGAGACUGCCGGGGUUAACUCGGAGGAAGGUGGGGAUGACGUCAAAUCAUCAUGCCCUUUAUGCCCAGGGCUUCACACAUGCUACAAUGGUUAGUACAACGCGCUGCGAACCUGUGAGGGUGAGCGAAUCGCUGAAAGCUAAUCUCAGUUCGGAUUGGGGUCUGCAACUCGACCCCAUGAAGUCGGAGUCGCUAGUAAUCGCAGAUCAGCAAUGCUGCGGUGAAUACGUUCCCGGGCCUUGUACACA
This 779-nucleotide ribosomal RNA is filed under the name uncultured bacterium. RNAcentral describes it as "bacterial SSU rRNA". It matches the Rfam family "Bacterial small subunit ribosomal RNA", at positions 614 to 1389 of the family's 1533-position model. The record is from RNAcentral.